UGUAACAUGUACGCGAGUCAUUGGGACAGUACGAAACCUAAAGGCGAAAUGAAAGUAAAGGUCGCGGCGCGAGCCCGGCCCAAAGAGGGGAGACGUGCGCGCAGCGGCCUCGGCCACGCCGUACCGCACCCCCGGGGUCUCUCGCACCCCCGGGGUCUCUCGUUCUCAUUGCGAGACAGUAGGCGCACCCAGAGCGCACACGUUGGGACCCGAAAGAUGGUGAACUAUGCCUGGUCAGGUCGAAGUCAGGGGAAACCCUGAUGGAGGACCGUAGCGAUUCUGACGUGCAAAUCGAUCGUCAGAGCUGGGUAUAGGGGCGAAAGACUAAUCGAACCAUCUAGUAGCUGGUUCCUUCCGA
Molecule: ribosomal RNA, 358 nt
Filed under: Paragnetina media (embossed stonefly)
Lineage: Eukaryota; Metazoa; Arthropoda; Insecta; Plecoptera; Perlidae
Description: LSU rRNA
Rfam family: Eukaryotic large subunit ribosomal RNA
Source: RNAcentral